GACGAACGCUGGCGGCGUGCUUAACACAUGCAAGUCGAACGGAAAGGCCCUGCUUUUGUGGGGUGCUCGAGUGGCGAACGGGUGAGUAACACGUGAGUAACCUGCCCUUGACUUUGGGAUAACUUCAGGAAACUGGGGCUAAUACCGGAUAGGAGCUCCUGCUGCAUGGUGGGGGUUGGAAAGUUUCGGCGGUUGGGGAUGGACUCGCGGCUUAUCAGCUUGUUGGUGGGGUAGUGGCUUACCAAGGCUUUGACGGGUAGCCGGCCUGAGAGGGUGACCGGCCACAUUGGGACUGCGAUACGGCCCAGACUCCUACGGGAGGCAGCAGUGGGGAAUAUUGCACAAUGGGCGGAAGCCUGAUGCAGCAACGCCGCGUGCGGGAUGACGGCCUUCGGGUUGUAAACCGAUUUCGCCUGUGACGAAGAGUGAGUGACGGUAAUGGGUAAAGAAGCACCGGCUAACUACGUG
RNAcentral lists this ribosomal RNA (468 nucleotides) under uncultured bacterium. RNAcentral's name for it is "partial 16S ribosomal RNA". It matches the Rfam family "Bacterial small subunit ribosomal RNA", at positions 28 to 507 of the family's 1533-position model. The record is from RNAcentral.